RNAcentral lists this ribosomal RNA (253 nucleotides) under uncultured bacterium. Its description in RNAcentral is "partial 16S ribosomal RNA". It matches the Rfam family "Bacterial small subunit ribosomal RNA", at positions 524 to 776 of the family's 1533-position model. The record is from RNAcentral.
UACGUAGGGUGCGAGCGUUAAUCGGAAUUACUGGGCGUAAAGCGUGCGCAGGCGGUCUGUUAAGACCGAUGUGAAAUCCCCGGGCUUAACCUGGGAACUGCAUCCGAUACUGCCAUGCUAGAGGAUUGGAGAGGUAGCUGGAAUUCUUGGUGUAGCAGUGAAAUGCGUAGAGAUCAAGAGGAACACUCGUGGCGAAAGCGAGCUACUGGACAAUUCCUGACGCUGAGGCUCGAAGGCUAGGGUAGCGAAAGGG